ACCAGACUCCUACGGGAGGCAGCAGUGGGGAAUAUUGGGCAAUGGGCGCAAGCCUGACCCAGCAACGCCGCGUGAAGGAAGAAGGCUUUCGGGUUGUAAACUUCUUUUAUCAGGGACGAAGCAAGUGACGGUACCUGAUGAAUAAGCCACGGCUAACUACGUGCCAGCAGCCGCGGUAAUACGUAGGUGGCGAGCGUUAUCCGGAUUUACUGGGUGUAAAGGGCGUGUAGGCGGGAGUGCAAGUCAGAUGUGAAAACUAUGGGCUCAACCCAUGGCCUGCAUUUGGAACUGGGCUUCUUGAGUGCUGGGGAGGGAAUCGGAAUUCCGUGUGUAGCGGUGAA
Molecule: ribosomal RNA, 341 nt
Filed under: uncultured bacterium
Lineage: Bacteria
Description: bacterial SSU rRNA
Rfam family: Bacterial small subunit ribosomal RNA
Source: RNAcentral